This 79-nucleotide non-coding RNA is filed under the name Martinezella freirei. RNAcentral's name for it is "Rhizobium freirei Glycine sequence". It matches the Rfam family "Glycine riboswitch aptamer". Rfam says of the family: This family represents the bacterial glycine riboswitch. Glycine riboswitches usually consist of two metabolite-binding aptamers domains with similar structures in tandem. The aptamers cooperatively bind glycine to regulate the expression of downstream genes. Lineage: Bacteria; Pseudomonadati; Pseudomonadota; Alphaproteobacteria; Hyphomicrobiales; Rhizobiaceae. The record is from RNAcentral.
AGACGGAACUCUGGAGAGAAGCGCGAAAGCGUUCGCCGAAGGGAUAACAAUCUCAGGCAAAACAGACAGAGGGGGCUCA